RNAcentral lists this ribosomal RNA (449 nucleotides) under uncultured bacterium. RNAcentral's name for it is "partial 16S ribosomal RNA". It matches the Rfam family "Bacterial small subunit ribosomal RNA", at positions 29 to 523 of the family's 1533-position model. The record is from RNAcentral.
AACGAACGCUGGCGGCAGGCUUAACACAUGCAAGUCGAACGCAUCCUUCGGGGUGAGUGGCAGACGGGUGAGUAACGCGUGGGAACGUGCCCUUCAGUUCGGGAUAACCCAGGGAAACUUGGGCUAAUACCGGAUACGUGCGAGAGCAGAAAGAUUUAUCGCUGAAGGAUCGGCCCGCGUCUGUUUAGCAAGUUGGUGGGGUAAUGGCCCACCAAGGCGACGAUCAGUAGCUGGUCUGAGAGGAUGAUCAGCCACAUUGGGAGUGGGACACGGCCCAAACUACUACGGGAGGCAGCAGUGGGGAAUAUUGGAGAAUGGGCGCAAGCCUGAUCCAGACAUGCCGCGUGAGUGAUGAAGGCCUUAGGGUUGUAAAGCUCUUUCGUCCGGGACGAUAAUGACGGUACCGGAAGAAGAAGCCCCGGCUAACUUCGUGCCAGCCGCCGCAGUAA